UCAAAUCACAUCAUCGGCAACCCACUUCCCCACCGACGCAAACACACCCAUCCCGCAGCCACUCUCCCUCACCCGUUUACAUCGAUUUUGAUUGUUUCUCAAGUUUUUAUCACCACAUUUAGGGACUUUGAAAGCUUAAUUUUUCUCGGUAGAAGUUUCAGCAGCAGUUGCGGCUCUCCAGCGGCGUAGAGCACAAACUCUUUGUUGGAAUGCUUACCAAAAAACGUUUCUGAUGAUGAGAUAUUUGCUAUAUUUUUGGAGUCUGAAACCAUAACAGAUUUUUGAAUUCUUAGAGUUUCCCCGCAAACAAGCAAAUGUUGUGCUUUUUUGAAAUUUGAGACAAAAGAUCAAGCACUGGCAGCUAUAGAAGUCCUCAACGGAAAGCAUAGCAUGGAUGGUUCGACUAUACCUUUGGUGGUCAAGUGGGCAGAUACAGAGAAGGAAAGACAGGCUCAGAGGGCACAAAAGGCAUGGUCGUUGGCCUCUAAUGUGCCAAAUAUUGAUUCCAUGCAGCAGGCAUCGUUAUUUGGUGCCUUGCCAAUGGGUUAUAUGCCUUCAAUUGAAGUGAUUAUUCCGAACAGAUAGCUAGCAACAUAAAUUCUUUGGCUGCUGCGAUCAAAUAAGAGAAUUGAGUUCCAUGAUGUCUGUGAUUAUUAUUGGAUUAUUAUGCAUGAGAUCAAUAGGUACUUCAAGUACCAACUUUAUUGGGUGUUUAAUUUAAAGAGAUACCUAAUGAAACAAUAUCAAAAUGUAGUUCUUGUGUACCAAAUUUAAUGCUUUUGUGCGAAAGGCAUGUAUCACCUAGUUUUUAUAUAUAUUAUAUAUAUUUUCUUUUUUCAU
Molecule: long non-coding RNA, 840 nt
Organism: Andrographis paniculata
Lineage: Eukaryota; Viridiplantae; Streptophyta; Magnoliopsida; Lamiales; Acanthaceae
Exons: 4
Source: RefSeq, a predicted model, not a curated record